ACUAAGCGUACACGGUGGAUGCCCUGGCAGUCAGAGGCGAUGAAGGACGUGCUAAUCUGCGAAAAGCGUCGGUAAGGUGAUAUGAACCGUUAUAACCGGCGAUGUCCGAAUGGGGAAACCCAGUGCAAUUCGUUGCACUAUCGUUAACUGAAUACAUAGGUUAACGAGGCGAACCGGGGGAACUGAAACAUCUAAGUACCCCGAGGAAAAGAAAUCAACCGAGAUUCCCCCAGUAGCGGCGAGCGAACGGGGAGCAGCCCAGAGUCUGAAUCAGCUUGUGUGUUAGUGGAACGGUCUGGAAAGUCCGACGGUACAGGGUGAUAGUCCCGUACACCAAAAUGCACAGGUUGUGAACUCGAAGAGUAGGGCGGGACACGUGGUAUCCUGUCUGAAUAUGGGGGGACCAUCCUCCAAGGCUAAAUACUCCUGACUGACCGAUAGUGAACCAGUACCGUGAGGGAAAGGCGAAAAGAACCCCGGCGAGGGGAGUGAAAAAGAACCUGAAACCGUGUACGUACAAGCAGUGGGAGCACCUUCGGGUGUGACUGCGUACCUUUUGUAUAAUGGGUCAGCGACUUAUAUUCUGUAGCAAGGUUAACCGUAUAGGGGAGCCGCAGGGAAACCGAGUCUUAACUGGGCGUUAAGUUGCAGGGUAUAGACCCGAAACCCGGUGAUCUAGCCAUGGGCAGGUUGAAGGUUGGGUAACACUAACUGGAGGACCGAACCGACUAAUGUUGAAAAAUUAGCGGAUGACUUGUGGCUGGGGGUGAAAGGCCAAUCAAACCGGGAGAUAGCUGGUUCUCCCCGAAAGCUAUUUAGGUAGCGCCUCGUGAAUUCAUCUUCGGGGGUAGAGCACUGUUUCGGCUAGGGGGUCAUCCCGACUUACCAACCCGAUGCAAACUACGAAUACCGAAGAAUGUUAUCACGGGAGACACACGGCGGGUGCUAACGUCCGUCGUGAAGAGGGAAACAACCCAGACCGCCAGCUAAGGUCCCAAAGUCAUGGUUAAGUGGGAAACGAUGUGGGAAGGCACAGACAGCCAGGAUGUUGGCUUAGAAGCAGCCAUCAUUUAAAGAAAGCGUAAUAGCUCACUGGUCGAGUCGGCCUGCGCGGAAGAUGUAACGGGGCUAAACCAUGCACCGAAGCUGCGGCAGCGACACUAUGUGUUGUUGGGUAGGGGAGCGUUCUGUAAGCCUGCGAAGGUGUGCUGUGAGGCAUGCUGGAGGUAUCAGAAGUGCGAAUGCUGACAUAAGUAACGAUAAAGCGGGUGAAAAGCCCGCUCGCCGGAAGACCAAGGGUUCCUGUCCAACGUUAAUCGGGGCAGGGUGAGUCGACCCCUAAGGCGAGGCCGAAAGGCGUAGUCGAUGGGAAACAGGUUAAUAUUCCUGUACUUGGUGUUACUGCGAAGGGGGGACGGAGAAGGCUAUGUUAGCCGGGCGACGGUUGUCCCGGUUUAAGCAUGUAGGCUGGUUGUCCAGGCAAAUCCGGAUAAUCAAGGCUGAGGUGUGAUGACGAGGCACUACGGUGCUGAAGUAACAAAUGCCCUGCUUCCAGGAAAAGCCUCUAAGCAUCAGGUAACAUCAAAUCGUACCCCAAACCGACACAGGUGGUCAGGUAGAGAAUACCAAGGCGCUUGAGAGAACUCGGGUGAAGGAACUAGGCAAAAUGGUGCCGUAACUUCGGGAGAAGGCACGCUGGUGUGUAGGUGAAGUCCCUGCGGAUGGAGCUGAGACCAGUCGAAGAUACCAGCUGGCUGCAACUGUUUAUUAAAAACACAGCACUGUGCAAACACGAAAGUGGACGUAUACGGUGUGACGCCUGCCCGGUGCCGGAAGGUUAAUUGAUGGGGUUAUCCGUAAGGAGAAGCUCUUGAUCGAAGCCCCGGUAAACGGCGGCCGUAACUAUAACGGUCCUAAGGUAGCGAAAUUCCUUGUCGGGUAAGUUCCGACCUGCACGAAUGGCGUAAUGAUGGCCAGGCUGUCUCCACCCGAGACUCAGUGAAAUUGAACUCGCUGUGAAGAUGCAGUGUACCCGCGGCAAGACGGAAAGACCCCGUGAACCUUUACUAUAGCUUGACACUGAACAUUGAGCCUUGAUGUGUAGGAUAGGUGGGAGGCUUUGAAGCGUGGACGCCAGUCUGCGUGGAGCCAACCUUGAAAUACCACCCUUUAAUGUUUGAUGUUCUAACGUUGGCCCCUGACCGGGGUUGCGGACAGUGUCUGGUGGGUAGUUUGACUGGGGCGGUCUCCUCCCAAAGCGUAACGGAGGAGCACGAAGGUUAGCUAAUCCUGGUCGGACAUCAGGAGGUUAGUGCAAUGGCAUAAGCUAGCUUGACUGCGAGCGUGACGGCGCGAGCAGGUGCGAAAGCAGGUCAUAGUGAUCCGGUGGUUCUGAAUGGAAGGGCCAUCGCUCAACGGAUAAAAGGUACUCCGGGGAUAACAGGCUGAUACCGCCCAAGAGUUCAUAUCGACGGCGGUGUUUGGCACCUCGAUGUCGGCUCAUCACAUCCUGGGGCUGAAGUAGGUCCCAAGGGUAUGGCUGUUCGCCAUUUAAAGUGGUACGCGAGCUGGGUUUAGAACGUCGUGAGACAGUUCGGUCCCUAUCUGCCGUGGGCGCUGGAGAAUUGAGGGGGGCUGCUCCUAGUACGAGAGGACCGGAGUGGACGCAUCACUGGUGUUCGGGUUGUCAUGCCAAUGGCACUGCCCGGUAGCUAAAUGCGGAAGAGAUAAGUGCUGAAAGCAUCUAAGCACGAAACUUGCCCCGAGAUGAGUUCUCCCUGAGACUAUAAGUCUCCUGAAGGAACGUUAAAGACGAUGACGUUGAUAGGCCGGGUGUGUAAGCGCAGCGAUGCGUUGAGCUAACCGGUACUAAUGAACCGUGAGGCUUAACC
This 2891-nucleotide ribosomal RNA is filed under the name Klebsiella pneumoniae subsp. pneumoniae. RNAcentral describes it as "bacterial LSU rRNA". It matches the Rfam family "Bacterial large subunit ribosomal RNA". Lineage: Bacteria; Pseudomonadati; Pseudomonadota; Gammaproteobacteria; Enterobacterales; Enterobacteriaceae. The record is from RNAcentral.